UCUCCGUAGGUGAACCUGCGGAGGGAUCAUUACAAAAUUGGCGCUUUCGGCGUCCAACGACACCUUCCUGUGUGAGCAAAAAGCUUGCUUUGGCGCCUCGGCGUCAUAUUUAUGCAGAUUUGCAAUUGAAUCUGAGAAACAAACAAAUUUAAAACUUUCAACAAAGGAUCUCUUGGCUCUUGCAUCGAUGAAGAACGAAGC
This 201-nucleotide unclassified non-coding RNA is filed under the name plant metagenome. RNAcentral describes it as "partial contains small subunit ribosomal RNA, internal transcribed spacer 1, and 5.8S ribosomal RNA". The stretch from base 153 to 201 matches the Rfam family "5.8S ribosomal RNA", at positions 1 to 49 of the family's 154-position model. The record is from RNAcentral.